GAUGAACGCUGGCGGCGUGCCUAAUACAUGCAAGUCGAGCGAACGGACGAGAAGCUUGCUUCUCUGAUGUUAGCGGCGGACGGGUGAGUAACACGUGGAUAACCUACCUAUAAGACUGGGAUAACUUCGGGAAACCGUAGCUAAUACCGGAUAAUAUUUUGAACCGCAUUGUUCAAAAGUGAAAGACGGUCUUGCUGUCACUUAUAGAUGGAUCCGCGCUGCAUUAGCUAGUUGGGAAGGUAACGGCUUACCAAGGCAACGAUGCAUAGCCGACCUGAGAGGGUGAUCGGCCACACUGGAACUGAGACGCGGUCCAGACUCCUACGGGAGGCAGCAGUAGGGAAUCGGACGCAAUGGGCGAGAGCAUGACGGAGCAACGCGGCGUGAGUGAUGAAGGUCUUCGGAUCGUAAAACUCUGUUAUUAGGGAAGAACAUAUGUGUAAGUAACUGUGCACAUCGUGACGGUAACUAAUCAGAAAGCCACGGCUAACUACGUG
This 497-nucleotide ribosomal RNA is filed under the name uncultured bacterium. RNAcentral's name for it is "partial 16S ribosomal RNA". It matches the Rfam family "Bacterial small subunit ribosomal RNA", at positions 28 to 507 of the family's 1533-position model. The record is from RNAcentral.